This 403-nucleotide ribosomal RNA is filed under the name Fusobacteriota bacterium. RNAcentral describes it as "Fusobacteria bacterium partial 16S ribosomal RNA". It matches the Rfam family "Bacterial small subunit ribosomal RNA", at positions 355 to 776 of the family's 1533-position model. Lineage: Bacteria; Fusobacteriati; Fusobacteriota. The record is from RNAcentral.
UGGGGAAUAUUGCACAAUGUAGGGAACUCUGAUGCAGCGACGCCGCGUGAACGAAGAAGGCUUUCGAGUCGUAAAGUUCUUUUAUAUGGGAAGAUAAUGACGGUACCAUAAGAAAAAGCCCCGGCUAACUACGUGCCAGCAGCCGCGGUAAUACGUAGGGGGCUAGCGUUGUCCGGAAUCACUGGGCGUAAAGGGUUCGCAGGCGGAAAUGCAAGUCAGGUGUAAAAGGCAGUAGCUUAACUACUGUAAGCAUUUGAAACUGCAUAUCUUGAGAAGAGUAGAGGUAAGUGGAAUUUUUAGUGUAGCGGUGAAAUGCGUAGAUAUUAAAAAGAAUACCGGUGGCGAAGGCGACUUACUGGGCUCAUUCUGACGCUGAGGAACGAAAGCGUGGGUAGCAAACAGG